GAUGAACGCUGGCGGCGUGCCUAAUACAUGCAAGUCGAGCGAACAGACGAGGAGCUUGCUCCUCUGACGUUAGCGGCGGACGGGUGAGUAACACGUGGAUAACCUCCCUAUAAGACUGGGAUAACUUCGGGAAACCGGAGCUAAUACCGGAUAAUAUCUUGAACCGCAUGGUUCAAUAGUGAAAGACGGUUUUGCUGUCACUUAUAGAUGGAUCCGAGCCGCAUUAGCUAGUUGGUAAGGUAACGGCUUACCAAGGCAACGAUGCGUAGCCGACCUGAGAGGGUGAUCGGCCACACUGGUACUAAGACACGGUCCAGACUCCUACGGGAGGCAGCAGUAGGGAAUCUUCCGCAAUGGGCGAAAGCCUGACGGAGCAACGCCGCGUGAGUGAUGAAGGUCUUCGGAUCGUAAAACUCUGUUAUUAGGGAAGAACAAAUGUGUAAGUAACUAUGCACGUCUUGACGGUACCUAAUCAGAAAGCCACGGCUAACUACGUG
RNAcentral lists this ribosomal RNA (497 nucleotides) under uncultured bacterium. RNAcentral describes it as "partial 16S ribosomal RNA". It matches the Rfam family "Bacterial small subunit ribosomal RNA", at positions 28 to 507 of the family's 1533-position model. The record is from RNAcentral.